AUGGCCGCCCCAGCAGUGUCCGGGCUCUCCCGGCAGGUGCGAUGCUUCAGUACCUCUGUUGUCAGACCAUUUGCCAAGCUUGUGCGGCCUCCUGUUCAGGUAUACAGUAUUGAAGGUCGCUAUGCCACAGCUCUUUAUUCUGCUGCAUCAAAACAGAGUAAGUUGGAGCAAGUAGAAAAGGAGUUGUUGAGAGUAGCACAAAUCCUGAAGGAACCCAAAGUGGCUGCUUCUGUUUUGAAUUCCUAUGUGAAGCGUUCUGUUAGAGUGAAAAGCCUAAAUGACAUCACAGCAAAAGAGAGGUUCUCUCCCGUCACCACCAACUGGAUCAAUGUGCUUGCUGAAAAUGGUCGCUUAAGCAAUACCCAAGGAGUCGUUUCUGCCUUUUUUACCAUGAUGAGUGUUCAUCGCGGAGAGGUACCUUGCACAGUGAGCACUGCAACUCCUUUAGAAGAAGCCAUACUCUCUGAAUUAAAAACUGUCCUCAAGAGCUUCAUAAGUCAAGGCCAAGUAUUGAAAUUGGAGGCUAAGACUGAUCCGUCAAUCACGGGUGGAAUGACUGUGCGCAUUGGAGAGAAAUAUGUUGGCACGUCUGUCAAGACCAAGAUUCAGAAGCUGGGCAGGGCUAUGCGGGAGGUUGUCUAAGUGUUGAUUUUCUGUCAUCAGUGAAAAUUCUUAAACUUGGAGCAACGAUAAAAAGCUUCCAGAACAGAUCAAAAAAAAAAAA
Molecule: RNA transcript, 724 nt
Organism: Mandrillus leucophaeus (drill)
Lineage: Eukaryota; Metazoa; Chordata; Mammalia; Primates; Cercopithecidae
Gene name: ATP synthase subunit O, mitochondrial pseudogene
Exons: 1
Source: RefSeq, a predicted model, not a curated record